UCUAUCCCCAAAAAGUCCAUCUUACCCCUCUAUUUAUCUUAUCCUUUUUUAUUUUUGUUAGCAGUUCCAAAUUUGUUAUUGUUCACAUUUACAUUACUCUUUCACAAAUCAAUCUAAGCGGCACUCUUAUCACAAGUUUAAUAUGUGAUAGAUUUUCGACGUACAUAGAGUAUAAAUGCACAUCUUUGAGCAAGGAAUUCCCCUUUGAAAGAUUCAUGGUCCAUUUUAGUAUUCAUAUUGAAAUUGACAAAGGAAGAUACAGGAAACUCCAAGGUCUAGAUAAAACUUUGUAAUACCCUUUGAUCUCAUCCUUUUAAUUGACAUAGCCCAAAUCCUCUGGUAAAAUUAGGAUGAUUCAUCGGGAAUA
RNAcentral lists this unclassified non-coding RNA (367 nucleotides) under Impatiens occultans. RNAcentral describes it as "trnL-trnF intergenic spacer". Lineage: Eukaryota; Viridiplantae; Streptophyta; Magnoliopsida; Ericales; Balsaminaceae. The record is from RNAcentral.